GUGAAUCAUCGAAUUUUUGAACGCAAAUUGCACUCUCUCCGGAGAGUAUGCCUGUUUGAGGGUAAUUAAAAAGAAUCUUUAACCAAUUUUUUUUUGUCAACGGAAAUGAGCUCUCCGCGUUUGUAGCUGUAGCUUGAACUAAAUGUUCAAGUCUCAUUUUAGUCGAGACGCGUAAUAAUAUUAUUUCGCGAAAUCUUCAUUAUUUGACUAUCAAGUUUUGAUUCAUACAAAUUUGCUUUUUAUUCUCUCAAUACCACUUUUUUGAACAUUACCUCAAC
RNAcentral lists this unclassified non-coding RNA (278 nucleotides) under Ambisporaceae sp. RNAcentral's name for it is "partial contains 5.8S ribosomal RNA and internal transcribed spacer 2". The stretch from base 1 to 65 matches the Rfam family "5.8S ribosomal RNA", at positions 84 to 154 of the family's 154-position model. The record is from RNAcentral. Lineage: Eukaryota; Fungi; Glomeromycota; Glomeromycetes; Archaeosporales; Ambisporaceae.